AUACGGAAGGUCCAGGCGUUAUCCGGAUUUAUUGGGUUUAAAGGGAGCGUAGGCCGUCUGUUAAGCGUGUUGUGAAAUGUAGAUGCUCAACAUCUGAAUUGCAGCGCGAACUGGCAGACUUGAGUGUGCGCAACAUAGGCGGAAUUCGUGGUGUAGCGGUGAAAUGCUUAGAUAUCACGAAGAACUCCGAUUGCGAAGGCAGCUUACGGGGGCACAACUGACGCUGAAGCUCGAAAGUGCGGGUAUC
Molecule: ribosomal RNA, 247 nt
Filed under: uncultured bacterium
Lineage: Bacteria
Description: partial 16S ribosomal RNA
Rfam family: Bacterial small subunit ribosomal RNA
Source: RNAcentral